This 578-nucleotide ribosomal RNA is filed under the name Rhodotorula kratochvilovae. RNAcentral describes it as "eukaryotic LSU rRNA". It matches the Rfam family "Eukaryotic large subunit ribosomal RNA", at positions 77 to 668 of the family's 3401-position model. The record is from RNAcentral. Lineage: Eukaryota; Fungi; Basidiomycota; Microbotryomycetes; Sporidiobolales; Sporidiobolaceae.
UCCCUAGUAGCGGCGAGCGAGCGGGAAGAGCUCAAAUUUAUAAUCUGGCACCUUCGGUGUCCGAGUUGUAAUCUCUAGAAGUGUUUUCCGCGUUGGACCGCACACAAGUCUGUUGGAAUACAGCGGCACAGUGGUGAUACCCCCGUACACGGUGCGGACGCCCAGCGCUUUGUGAUACACUUUCAAUGAGUCGAGUUGUUUGGGAAUGCAGCUCAAAUUGGGUGGUAAAUUCCAUCUAAAGCUAAAUAUUGGCGAGAGACCGAUAGCGAACAAGUACCGUGAGGGAAAGAUGAAAAGCACUUUGGAAAGAGAGUUAACAGUACGUGAAAUUGUUGGAAGGGAAACGCUUGAAGUCAGACUUGCUUGCCGGAGCUUGCUUCGGUUUGCAGGCCAGCAUCAGUUUUCCGGGGUGGAUAAUGGUGGUUUGAAGGUAGCAGCCUCGGCUGUGUUAUAGCUUUCCACUGGAUACAUCCUGGGGGACUGAGGAACGCAGCGUGCUUUUUGCGAAGGUUUCGACCUUUUCACGCUUAGGAUGCUGGUGUAAUGACUUUAAACGACCCGUCUUGAAACACGGACCA